AGGGUGAGUCGACCCCUAAGGCGAGGCCGAAAGGCGUAGUCGAUGGGAAACAGGUUAAUAUUCCUGUACUUGGUGUUACUGCGAAGGGGGGACGGAGAAGGCUAUGUUGGCCGGGCGACGGUUGUCCCGGUUUAAGCGUGUAGGCUGGUUUUCCAGGCAAAUCCGGAAAAUCAAGGCUGAGGCGUGAUGACGAGGCACUACGGUGCUGAAGCAACAAAUGCCCUGCUUCCAGGAAAAGCCUCUAAGCAUCAGGUAACAUCAAAUCGUACCCCAAACCGACACAGGUGGUCAGGUAGAGAAUACCAAGGCGCUUGAGAGAACUCGGGUGAAGGAACUAGGCAAAAUGGUGCCGUAACUUCGGGAGAA
This 366-nucleotide ribosomal RNA is filed under the name Escherichia coli. RNAcentral's name for it is "partial 23S ribosomal RNA". It matches the Rfam family "Bacterial large subunit ribosomal RNA", at positions 1376 to 1744 of the family's 2925-position model. The record is from RNAcentral. Lineage: Bacteria; Pseudomonadati; Pseudomonadota; Gammaproteobacteria; Enterobacterales; Enterobacteriaceae.